Long non-coding RNA from Cornus florida, 755 nucleotides. RefSeq lists it as uncharacterized. The transcript has 2 exons. The record is from RefSeq and is a predicted model, not a curated record. NCBI's taxonomy places the organism in Eukaryota, Viridiplantae, Streptophyta, Magnoliopsida, Cornales, Cornaceae.
AGUGCUAUUUUUGUUUUAUUUGGAAGGUUUAAAGAAGGUGCUUCACGACAGAGAAGGAGAGUGGUUUUCAGACUUGGAAGUUUCUUUUCGUUUAGGGAUGUGAGGACAUGGAACAUCCACUUGUCAAACCGAAAUGGAGUUCAAAAACUCAUGGACCAUCUCUAUUGGAUAAUUUUGGUAAAUUGAAAGUAUUAAAAGUUGGUAGUUGUAGAUCAAUGAAGUAUCUGUUCUUCGCGUCCACUGCAAGAUGUCUUCCAAAACUACAUGAACUAGUUAGAGAAUGUGAGGCAUUGGAAAAAAUAAUUGGAGGUGAUGAGGAAGUCACGGAUAAAGUUAUUUUUCAUCAGUUAAAGGAAUUGAGGCUGGAAAAUCUGUCAAUUUCAGAAGCAUUUACGCCAAUACGAAGAAGACAAAAACUAUAGAGUGCAUCAUGCCUUCCACCAAUACACAACUCUCUUCAAUGAAAAGGAAAUAGGAAAGAAGUGGCGGAUGAUGUUCCAUUACAGGCCAAAUUUGGAUUAGAAAACCAUUUUGCUAUUUUUGUAUUAAGUCCCUUAUUUUUUUUUUGUAAAACCUUAGUUUGUUAUAUUCGGUAUAGAGAUUUGUGGACUCUUGUUAUUGUAAUUAUAUUUAUGGGCUGUAACUUUAGUAUAAGUUGUCUAAACGUUGUAAGACAUAGACUUUAGAUCUUAACCAUAUAUUUUUGGGACUGUAAUUGUGAUAUUUGGAUUAGAUGGCAUGUAGUUUUUCCACCA